CUCAGGAAUGUCCCUGAGAUGGCUCAUGGCUGAGUCGCUGAGCGGCCGUGACUCAGCCAGUUUCCGCCCUGGCUGUCUGUCUGUCCGUCAGUCGGUCUGUCUGGGAGUCUGCCUCCUCCGAGGGCACUGGUGGGAGAUUCCAGUCAGCCGUGUUCCCGCUGGGAAGUGGAAAGCUCAGGAAGAAAUUCAAACACAUCUCUCCGUUACACUUCACUGUAACCCGGUGUUUCUUUAUGAUCGAAGCCAGUGCUCAACAUCAGACAUUGGACGAAGAGGAAGGUAGUGCUGAGGAGCCCAAUAGAUUGCUGUCCUGAGAUUCAUAUUCCAGUGGAGAGCAGGGAAAACAGAAGGUACAAACUGCCAGUUUUCUAAGCUGUAGACAAAGACUGGAAGAGUUAUUUUUCAUCACGAAACAGAGUACAAUAUAACCAACCUUCACAACAUGUAAGAAAAUGAUCAAGUGAGGAGAGAGAGAGCCUGAGAAGAGGGAAAAAGUAGAAGGCAGUCAUAACCUGCACAUCUCAUGGAACAGGCAGUCAAAAGCAAGAGACUAUUGCCUAUGGAGUAAAGACAGACAUGUCGGAAAUAAUUUAUAACUCAAGGAAAGCUAAAGGAGUAGCAAGAAGUAGUAGGUGUCUCCCUCUCAAUGGGAAUGGACACUCAGAGUGAGUUAGCUGCUGUGUGGGGUCUAUUCUUCCCUGUACCCUUCCAUCAACACAAAAC
RNAcentral lists this long non-coding RNA (723 nucleotides) under Heterocephalus glaber (naked mole-rat). Its description in RNAcentral is "lncRNA (ENSHGLG00000037593.1)". Lineage: Eukaryota; Metazoa; Chordata; Mammalia; Rodentia; Bathyergidae. The record is from RNAcentral.